Myodes glareolus (Bank vole) is the source of this 1302-nucleotide non-coding RNA. The record is from RefSeq and is a predicted model, not a curated record. Lineage: Eukaryota; Metazoa; Chordata; Mammalia; Rodentia; Cricetidae.
GCAGACGCAAAAUGCAGCGUCUGAUGCGUGUAUGCUGGGGUGGCCUUUAAAAGGCAAAGCGCGGUACUUCCGCUCUCUCCUUCCUGUUUCCCACUUGCAUGGUCCACCACGCCUUUCCCUGUAAUAAAGUUACAAGUGGGUUCCUUUGUACCUCGUGGUUUCUUCCAUAUUCCGCAGAAAGAACAUCACUGGUGCCGCGACUCGACCUGGAGCCAAAAACCGGAGCUCAGGCUUCAGGCGCCUCCUGGGCCUCCGACUUCCUUCCGGGACGCGAACAGAACCGAGGACCUCCUCUACAAUGACCCAUGUGUUCUAUCUGCCUGGGCGAGCUCCUACGAACAACACUGGCUUCUAAUUUGUGGCUGGAUUCAAGGAGAUUUCUACAAGCAGAAACGGAUACCAUAGAAACCAAAGGCUAGCAACCAUGGAAGGUCUCUUAACUGCUCCAUAAUGGCGUCCUUCCCAUCCGUCGUCACCGGAAAGUCAGGAGCUGUGUAAGCAGCUCAGGAGGACCCGAGUAAGGCUUUCUGUGGUUUCAAGGCCUCUAAAACAUUUUCUAAGAAACACCACAUUUUGUAGUGAUUUAAUCCCUGGCUUUUCUUCCCUGACUACUUGUCCACCUGAUACUCAGUGCCGUACCCACUCCAUUCAUCAAAAACAGAGGUGUAGAGUUGAGCCUAAGGAGAGGAAAUUCAACUAACAGUUCUGUUUUGGCAUACUCACAAGCCAUGUCCCCCACUUCAUAUUUCUUUUUAUUGUGUAAAACAUUUUAUUCAUCUUGAAAGUUCAGAGGAAGGUAUGAUCAUUAUGUUUUUUUUAAAGUAAGGGUAUUCUACAACUUUAAUGACUUUUAAAUCAAUUUUUAAAUUCACUAAUGUAAUAAUGUUGAUACCAGAGUCAAUGCUUAUGCAUAAAAAAGGAGUAAUUCAACUCUUAAUCAUUAAUUUAUCUAAUCAAUUGAAACAUGAAAAGACAAGCUAGUUCUCUUUGAAACAACUAUCAUCUAUUGAUGACAUAUAUUCAUGAAAAAAGUUGCUUGCCAUUUAUCAAUGUCCCCCUUAAUUUUGUGUUUUCUAAACUCUCAUAUUUUAGGUCUCAACAUGUAUUUCAGAUAAUUACUUACUAAAUCAUCGUAAGUGCUUCCCCCUUUAUCUACUACUACUAAUUCCUCUUCUUAUUCUACUAUUCAUGCCAACUUGAAGCAACAUUAAAAUUAAAAAAUGUAUAAAAUGUUCAGCUACAUUAUACAUCCUUACAGGUAAUGUUUCCUGGUUUCUUAUGUAGAUGUCACUAAGAAAAAUA